This 641-nucleotide ribosomal RNA is filed under the name uncultured bacterium. RNAcentral's name for it is "bacterial SSU rRNA". It matches the Rfam family "Bacterial small subunit ribosomal RNA", at positions 878 to 1510 of the family's 1533-position model. The record is from RNAcentral.
GAGUACGGCCGCAAGGCUAAAACUCAAAGAAAUUGACGGGGGCCCGCACAAGCGGAGGAGCAUGUGGCUCAAUUCGAUGCAACGCGAAGAACCUUACCAGGGCUUGACAUGCAGCUGCACGCUUACCGAAAGGUAGGAAGCUUUCGAAGGUGCUGCACAGGUGCUGCAUGGCUGUCGUCAGUUCGUGCCGUGAGGUGUUAGGUUAAGUCCUGCAACGAACGCAACCCUUGUGUUUAGUUGCCACCGCAGGUGAUGAGCCUGCGAGCACUCUAAACAGACUGCCUGUGUAAGCGGGAGGAAGGUGGGGAUGACGUCAAGUCAGUAUGGCCCUUACGCCCUGGGCUGCACACGUGCUACAAUGGCCGAUACAAUGAGACGCGAAACCGCGAGGCGGAGCAAAUCUCCAACGUCGGCCCCAGUUCGGAUUGGAGUCUGAAACUCGACUCCAUGAAGUUGGAUUCGCUAGUAACGGCGCAUCAGCUACGGCGCCGUGAAUACGUUCCCGGGCCUUGUACACACCGCCCGUCACAUCAUGAAAGCCGUCUGCACCCGAAGUCGCUGUCCGAACCCGCAAGGGAAGAAGGCGCCGAAGGUGUGGGUGGUGAUUGGGAUGAAGUCGUAACAAGGUAACCAAGGGCGAA